GGUGGCUCAGUGGUAGAGCGCUUGGCUUGCAUGCAAGAGGCCCUGGGUUCGAUUCCUCAGCACCA
Non-coding RNA from Dipodomys ordii (Ord's kangaroo rat), 65 nucleotides. The record is from Rfam. NCBI's taxonomy places the organism in Eukaryota, Metazoa, Chordata, Mammalia, Rodentia, Heteromyidae.